Molecule: ribosomal RNA, 484 nt
Filed under: uncultured bacterium
Lineage: Bacteria
Description: partial 16S ribosomal RNA
Rfam family: Bacterial small subunit ribosomal RNA
Source: RNAcentral
AUUGAACGCUGGCGGCAUGCUUUACACAUGCAAGUCGAACGGCAGCGCGGGCUUCGGCCUGGCGGCGAGUGGCGAACGGGUGAGUAAUGCAUCGGAACGUGCCCAGUCGUUGGGGAUAGCCCGGCGAAAGCCGGAUUAAUACCGCAUACGACCUGAGGGUGAAAGCGGGGGACCGAAAGGCCUCGCGCUAUUGGAGCGGCCGAUGUCGGAUUAGCUAGUUGGUUGGGUAAAGGCUUACCAAGGCGACGAUCCGUAGCUGGUCUGAGAGGACGACCAGCCACACUGGGACUGAGACACGGCCCAGACUCCUACGGGAGGCAGCAGUGGGGAAUUUUGGACAAUGGGGGCAACCCUGAUCCAGCCAUGCCGCGUGCGGGAAGAAGGCCUUCGGGUUGUAAACCGCUUUUGUUCGGGAAGAAAUCCUCUGGGCUAAUACCCCGGGGGGAUGACGGUACCGGAAGAAUAAGCACCGGCUAACUACGUG